CUUUUGGCACAAUUUAUGUUUAGCAGAACUAUUUUGGGCCCAAUUGUACGUAGGCCAAGUGAAUAAAUUGUAAUCCUUUAUAUUACAUACAAAUUAUUUUUGGGUGAAGCCCAUUUCAAUAGGUAGUGCAUUUUAUUGUCCUAUUACACAGAUACAAAUAAAAAUAGAUAAACAAGCAUAUAGUUCGUAUUGGUCAUUAUCAAAUACCAUCUCCUCAAACCAAAUGCUACCAUAUAUUGUUCAUCACAAAUUACAACU
Molecule: long non-coding RNA, 258 nt
Filed under: Setaria viridis
Lineage: Eukaryota; Viridiplantae; Streptophyta; Magnoliopsida; Poales; Poaceae
Description: long non-coding RNA (SVIR_LNC008093)
Source: RNAcentral